This 497-nucleotide ribosomal RNA is filed under the name uncultured bacterium. RNAcentral describes it as "partial 16S ribosomal RNA". It matches the Rfam family "Bacterial small subunit ribosomal RNA", at positions 28 to 507 of the family's 1533-position model. The record is from RNAcentral.
GAUGAACGCUGGCGGCGUGCCUAAUACAUGCGAGUCGAGCGAACGGACGAGAAGCUUGCUUCUCUGAUGUUAGCGGCGGACGGGUGAGUAACACGUGGAUAACCUACCUAUAAGACUGGGAUAACUUCGGGAAACCGGAGCUAAUACCGGAUAAUAUUUUGAACCGCAUGGUUCAAAAGUGAAAGACGGUCUUGCUGUCACUUAUAGAUGGAUCUGCGCUGCACUAGCUAGUUGGUAAGGUAACGGCUUACCAAGGCAACGAUGCAUAGCCGACCUGAGAGGGUGAUCGGCCACACUGGAACUGAGACACGGUCCAGACUCCUACGGGAGGCAGCAGUAGGGAAUCUUCCGCAAUGGGCGAAAGCCUGACGGAGCAACGCCGCGUGAGUGAUGAAGGUCUUCGGAUCGUAAAACUCUGUUAUUAGGGAAGAACAUAUGUGUAAGUAACUGUGCACAUCUUGACGGUACCUAAUCAGAAAGCCACGGCUAACUACGUG